UGGAUAACUGGUAUAGCCACAACUGUGAGC
RNAcentral lists this non-coding RNA (30 nucleotides) under Homo sapiens (human). The record is from RNAcentral. Lineage: Eukaryota; Metazoa; Chordata; Mammalia; Primates; Hominidae.